This 616-nucleotide long non-coding RNA is filed under the name Marmota monax (woodchuck). The record is from RNAcentral. Lineage: Eukaryota; Metazoa; Chordata; Mammalia; Rodentia; Sciuridae.
GCUGCGCUUGGAGGGAAGCAGGGCCGCAAGGUUGGUGGGGCCGACCCUCUCGUACCCGGGCGGCCGCGGGGCAUGCUGGGAGUUGUAGUUCGAUGUUGGUUUAGGGUUUGGGGCGUGGAGGCUCCAAAGUCUAGGUUUGACUUCAGCCUGCCCCUGAUAGAUAGUUCCCGGGCCGCAGGUGACCCGUUAUUGACUGCCGUUAAGGACCGUUACUAUUCUCGGGUAAGUGAGAGAGACAGGCCCGCGGGUGCGACUUGCCGGGACCCGAAGGUCCGGCCCCUUCUCAGAGGGGACUUUCCUGCUAGAAGCCAGAUGGGCUUCUGGCAGCUUUACUCACGGGAUUCUAGACAGCCCCAGGUCGUUGGCAAUUUAAGGCCUCAUGAGAGGAGACAGGAUUGUAGUGUGCAAAAAAACUGCCUCCGAGCCUGGAGACCCGACUGUUCGGCAUGCAGGGCUUGCUGCAUCUUGACCUCCAGAUACCGAGGUAUUGGUCUCUACAGAGCCCUUCUGCACAUAUUGUCCCUUUUAUUUCCUGAUGUAUACCCACAAGAGCCUUCCACUAUUUAAUGGGCAUAUGAUCUUAUCAACAAGCUUAGAAUGUAGUUGCCAUCAUUCC